GAUGAACGCUGGCGGCGUGCCUAAUACAUGCAAGUCGAGCGAACAGACGAGGAGCUUGCUCCUCUGACGUUAGCGGCGGACGGGUGAGUAACACGUGGAUAACCUACCUAUAAGACUGGGAUAACUUCGGGAAACCGGAGCUAAUACCGGAUAAUAUAUUGAACCGCAUGGUUCAAUAGUGAAAGACGGUUUUGCUGUCACUUAUAGAUGGAUCCGCGCCGCAUUAGCUAGUUGGUAAGGUAACGGCUUACCAAGGCAACGAUGCGUAGCCGACCUGAGAGGGUGGUCGGCCACGCUGGAACUGAGACACGGUCCAGACUCCUACGGGAGGCAGCAGUAGGGAAUCUUCCGCAAUGGGCGAAAGCCUGACGGAGCAACGCCGCGUGAGUGAUGAAGGUCUUCGGAUCGUAAAACUCUGUUAUUAGGGAAGAACAAAUGUGUAAGUAACUAUGCACGUCUUGACGGUACCUAAUCAGAAAGCCACGGCUAACUACGUG
This 497-nucleotide ribosomal RNA is filed under the name uncultured bacterium. Its description in RNAcentral is "partial 16S ribosomal RNA". It matches the Rfam family "Bacterial small subunit ribosomal RNA", at positions 28 to 507 of the family's 1533-position model. The record is from RNAcentral.